Molecule: ribosomal RNA, 689 nt
Filed under: Pleurotus cystidiosus
Lineage: Eukaryota; Fungi; Basidiomycota; Agaricomycetes; Agaricales; Pleurotaceae
Description: eukaryotic LSU rRNA
Rfam family: 5.8S ribosomal RNA (bases 270-423)
Source: RNAcentral
UCCGUAGGUGAACCUGCGGAAGGAUCAUUAAUGAAUUCACUCAUGAAGCUGAUGCUGGUCUCUCGGGACAUGUGCACGCUUCAUAAGUACAUUCAACCACUUGUGCACUUUUGAUAGAUUCGCAGAGUUGCCCUCUCAGGUCAGUAAAUGACUUGGUUGGUCAGGAUUGUCACAGUCCUGGCUUUGACUUUGUGGGUCUAUUAUCUUAUACACACUUGUAUGUCCAUGAAUGUUAUUUUCUUGGGCCAUGUGCCUAUAAAACCUAAUACAACUUUCAACAACGGAUCUCUUGGCUCUCGCAUCGAUGAAGAACGCAGCGAAAUGCGAUAAGUAAUGUGAAUUGCAGAAUUCAGUGAAUCAUCGAAUCUUUGAACGCACCUUGCGCCCCUUGGUAUUCCGAGGGGCAUGCCUGUUUGAGUGUCAUUAAAUUCUCAAAUCUAUAGAGCUUUUUUGUGAUAUAGAUUUGGAUUGUUGGGGGCUGCUGGCUUUUUACCAAGUUGGCUCCUCUUAAAUGCAUUAGCGGGACUUUAUUGCCUCUGCGCACAGUGUGAUAAUUAUCUACGCUGGCCGACAUGCAAUGACUUUACAAGUCCAGCUUUCUAACUGUCUUUCAAGACAAUGACUUGACAAUUUGACCUCAAAUCAGGUAGGACUACCCGCUGAACUUAAGCAUAUCAAUAAGCGGAGGA